GCUCUGGCAAACCUGGAGAGGAUCGCAGUGGUGUGGAGCGUGGGUGAUGCAUGUCAGAGGCAGUGCCCAACCUCCUGCAAUCAGUGGUAUGUGGUGCAGCCCUCUGUCCUUCUGACAGGAGGUGAAUUGAGGCAGGCCAAGCGGCAGGAACACUGCUCGUGUUUGGGUGAAGGUAGUCAAUAAAUCUCUGGAAGCCAUACAUGUUUUGCUCACCACCUACUGCUAACUCUUCACCACACUCAGGGAUAUGGAAGAGCUGGAGAACCACAGGAGACUGUCACCACAUCCCCACAGGAUCUCCUGCUGAGGAGAGUACUGCAGCAGUCAAACCUGCAAUGGCCAGGCUGGUCAGCUUGAAGGGAGAUCUCUGAGUGCAAGGGCAAGCGCUGCACCUCUGGAAGGAAAGCUGCUACUCUACUUGCAAGUGAAUAGCCAUUGUCACCUGUCACAUUACUGCAGUGGUUGUAAUGAAGAAAACAAUGAGGUUGUGCUUUGGAUGCCUCAGUGAAGUGCCUGACGUCACAAGGAAGGGAGCUAGAACAUCAGUCUGCAUCUGUUGUCUUCUGCAGAGGGUUGUCAUCGGUCAUCUUGUCUGCAGAAGCAGUUCAUGCACAUGCUUAUGGUUGCCUGGUUUUGACCCAGCGAAUGCGCAAGGAGGAAAGCUUUCUGUUCCUGCUCACUACAUCUUGGUUUCAGGAAAGUGUCUUUUUACUAUACUGUGGUAUGUAGGUCUGGGAGACACAAGAACAUUUGUGAAUUUA
Molecule: long non-coding RNA, 761 nt
Organism: Gallus gallus (chicken)
Lineage: Eukaryota; Metazoa; Chordata; Aves; Galliformes; Phasianidae
Source: Ensembl